RNAcentral lists this long non-coding RNA (245 nucleotides) under Nicotiana benthamiana. Its description in RNAcentral is "long non-coding RNA (NBEN_LNC014106)". Lineage: Eukaryota; Viridiplantae; Streptophyta; Magnoliopsida; Solanales; Solanaceae. The record is from RNAcentral.
ACUGCUUAUCGAAAACGACAACUUUUCUUGAAACCAAUGACUGAACCUUUCUUAUCGAAAACAAGUUUAUUCUUGUUGUCACACCUCCUUUUGGACAUCCACAACCCCGCGAAGGGCAUGGAUAAGGUAGUUUUUCCAACUAAAGGAAAAUCGAAACGGAAUUUAUUUUAUUUAAGAGAUUUCAGAGUCGCCACUUGGGAUAAUUAAUGGUGUUCCAAGUCACCGGUUUAAAUCCCGAAUCCAGG